UUGUUCAUAGAAAUAAUCAUCCAAUCAAUGUCAUUAUUUUGUAACCGUUUUUUUAGGCUAUCUGUUAAUAUUAAGCAUUAAACAUUAAGAAAUUAAAAUUCCACUUAUAUUAUAUUCUUACUAUCUUUCUAUCCAGGUUAAAUGGUGACAAGUGGACUAAAAUAUUAUUAAUUUUAUUAAAUAUGUCAUUAAAUAUGACAUAUAUCAACAUUUUAAUCAUCCAAUCAAUGUCAUUAUUUUGUAACCGUUUUUUUAGGCUAUCUGUUAAUAUUAAGCAUUAAACAUUAAGAAAUUAAAAUUCCACUUAUAUUAUAUUCUUACUAUCUUUCUAUCCAGGUUAAAUGGUGACAAGUGGACUAAAAUAUUAUUAAUUUUAUUAAAUAUGUCAUUAAAUAUGACAUAUAUCAACAUUUGAUAUGGUACGAAGAUAAAUAAGAAUAAAAUGUAGGAAAGUAAAACCCUCCUACAUUAGUAACCUGACCACAUCUUUCACUAAUCGUAAAAAUGGUUAACAAUUAUGUAACAUGUCAAAGUUGCAAACUGAAAAUUUGUCGGCGCUAGCUUUGUGCAAGAUCUUAAAAAAGUUUUAAUUUUUUUUUUUUGGAAAAAACCUAUUUUAAAAUUAUAAGAACAAUUUUACAACUUUUAUUAAAUAUUUGGAAAGCGUAAGAGCAAUUUCAUAAUAUUGAAAUAUAAACUUUAAGUAAUAUAAAUUUUCAAGUUUUUCUUUUGUGUUGGGUAUCAAUUUAAAUUUUAUUUGGAAUCCUGCAAUUGAAGGGUUGUAAAAUUAGUGGCCCUUUUGUGAUUGAUGAUUGAUGAAGAAUGGGAUCAAAUCAAUUUGUUAAAGGCAUUUUCAUAAUAUGGCCACUUUUGUGAUUAUCUCAAAUAAAUAAUAAAACUAUUUUUCACAAAUAAAAUGAUAGCUCUAGUAAUAUUUUGAGUCUGUCAAACCUUCAUAUAGAAUUUCGCACGUUAAAUAUCUAAUAUAGAAUUUCACACGUGUUAAGAAAUAUAUAAAAUAGUAUAUGAUAAAAGCAAAUUGCUUUUUAUAGUAUGAUAUAUAGAAUUUCUAGAUUGUUUAUAUAUGGUUGCAUUUUUCUUUAAAAGAAUAUUGUUUGUGGUAUGUAGUGUUUGCUGUCGCUACCACAGACAAGGUACCCGCGGGUCGGGGUCUGACAUUGACAGCCAUAUUUAACUCUUCUGAUUAUUAUUUAUCAGAGGAUCCAAACGUGAAAUGCAUGUGAAAAAGGUAAAAUGCAAAGGAAGAUAAUUGAAUUAUUAAUCUCGAGUAAUAAUAUUUAUAUAAGAAAGAAUUGAAGUAAUAUUUUCUAGUGGUUAGAAUUUAUAAUUUAAAGCUAAUGAAAACAAGUGACUUGUUAGCAUAAAAGUAUAAACAAACAAUUAAUAUAAUCAUUACCAUUUUCAAGGCAUAAUUUUUUUUUUUGUCUUUGGACGGAAAUGCACUAUGGCAAUUUCAAUCCUAGUCCUUAUCAAACUAUCAAAUCGAGUCUAUUAUAUGUCAGUUCUUGACAUGUGAAUCCGGAGAUAGAAGGGGAUCAAUAAGUUCAAGAUUU
Molecule: long non-coding RNA, 1574 nt
Filed under: Lactuca sativa (garden lettuce)
Lineage: Eukaryota; Viridiplantae; Streptophyta; Magnoliopsida; Asterales; Asteraceae
Description: long non-coding RNA (LSAT_LNC002279)
Source: RNAcentral